UCUGAAGCAGUUUAUGAUGUUCUUGGCCAAUCCAAUGUCAGCAUGAGUGGAAUUGAGGGGAGCUUCGAUUCAACCCUUUUACAGGUCAUGGACAUAUCAAACAGAAGUCAGGAAGCUGCUGUCGUUGAAGCUGAAGCCUGCUUCCCCCUGGAUGUGCUAGCCUCACCCCAGCCCAGCUGUGCAGCUACUGCAGCAUUCUCCACUCAAGUUCUAC
RNAcentral lists this unclassified non-coding RNA (214 nucleotides) under Haliotis rubra (blacklip abalone). RNAcentral describes it as "uncharacterized LOC124271402, transcript variant X2". The record is from RNAcentral. Lineage: Eukaryota; Metazoa; Mollusca; Gastropoda; Lepetellida; Haliotidae.